CUAGUACGGAAAUCCCAAAGCAAAACCCCUUCAAGAUAAUGGAGAAGCAAAAUCCCCCCCAGCAAACCCCCCGGCGCAAAAUAACCCCCCAAAACCCCCUCCCCAAUGAAACAACCCCCCCACCCCGCCCCAGACCCCUGGUCUGGCACAGCGCCACAAACAGGGCCAAGGAGGCGCGCAGGGUGGCCUCAGAAAACCAAGUGAGUUAAAAAUGUUUGCUCAAAAACAUGACAUCUUUCUCACAUACGACACACCUCAUUUCUCCACGAUAUUUUUUUUUACAAAGAAGUACAAUUUAUAAUUACAAAUAUUAUUGUAAAAUUGACUUUAAAUGUAAA
Molecule: non-coding RNA, 338 nt
Organism: Oryzias latipes (Japanese medaka)
Lineage: Eukaryota; Metazoa; Chordata; Actinopteri; Beloniformes; Adrianichthyidae
Source: RefSeq, a predicted model, not a curated record